GGAGGGAUAAUGGAAUAGGGAGUUUCUGGGGUGAAAUCAGGAAAGGGCUAUUAUUUGAAAUGUAAAUAAAGAUAAUAUCGAAUAAUAAAUAAAUUGAAUUAAAAUAAAAAUAUUCACAAAAUACUACAUAUAAAUAAGUCAUUAAGAUGUCAUAUAGUAUAUUAAUCAAUAUUAUCUAAUAUAUAAAUUAUGUUAAUACGAUAUAGUUUUAAACAAAUUACAUAUCCAAAAAUGUACCUUCAAAAUUUCCCAGUAUAUUUUAUACUGGAGAUCUGUGAAGUAAUUAAAGGUUAAAAAGUAAGGAUGCUGGGGAUACUGUUUGAUUGCUCAGCUUUUGUCCUACAAGCAGGACGAUGAGAGUUUGACCCACAACAUUACACCCUCCAAGAAAACCAUUCAAAUUAAGGAUUAAUCUAAUAGAAAUAUUGUUUAUAGUAUAUAUCAUAUUUCAAUUAUUAAUAUACAUUACUUGCUAUACAAUCAAUUAAACUUUUCUGGAAUUACUUACACUAAGAAGGAAAUAGUAAGUUUGAAUAUAUUACCGUGUAUCUCCAACUACUUCUUCAGGAUUUGCAUUCCCAUCAUCAUGAGUUACUGGAUUCUGUACUGGGUUCGUAAUAAAACAAGAUAUUAAAACAAUUAUGUUAUUUUGAAAAUUUUAAUGAAAUACUUUGUGAUCAUUCAGGCAUAGUGCCAACAUUAGGUUUUAAAGCAGAUCUAUUAUUUGCUUAGAAGUUAAACAAAAUCAAGUAAUGUCUAAUUGUCAUCUAAAAAUAUGUUUUAAGCUAUUUAUUUAUAUGUUGUGAUUAAAGACAAGAGAUACAAUAUGAGAUUUUUGAUCUCCUUUACAAGCCUAAGAAGAACAACUGAGAAAAAAAGGAAGUGUAACAUCAAUGCCCAUCAUUAAAUAUCUGGUACCUUCCAUAAGGUCCAAUUCUGAAGCAUUCCUAACUUGCUGAUCACCACUUAACAAAUUCCAGUUUUCCAUUGGUGUCUCUACAGAACGUGCAAAACGCUGCCAUUCCUCUGAGAAACUUACGUUUUCUGAUUUAAAAUAAAAAAAGCAAUUUUCUCAAGCCAUUUGAAUAAAAAAUCACAUAAACUAAUAAAAUUGAAAUAUAAAAUAACAUUAAGGAAUGAUUUUUACAAAAACAGCACUUCAUAAUUGCAUGAAGGGUUUAAAGAUAAAACCAUAUUUCUAUUACCCUCUGAUUUAAUACUAAAGACUUUAGUAUUUAAACAUGGAACACAAUAGUUGGCUUCAAAGAUAGCCAUUAAUAACCUUAACUUUAAUAUGUACACAUUUUUAAAAAGAAUUAUUUAAGUUGAAUAAAGUAUCUUGGUCUUCUUUACUAUAAAAGAAUAGAGGUUUGUUAUUUUUUAGUUUAAAACUCUCUCUCUCUCUCUCUCUCUCUUUCUCUCUUACACACACACACACACAGACACACACACUAUGAUGGCUUUAACUGUGACUUCAAGUGGGUUUAUAUCUAAACAUAGGAGGAUCUUCAUGUUGGUCCCAUUCCUGCAAGGUUUUUGAUAAGUUAGAGCAAAUGUGUCUGCAUCUCAAUCUCCAAAUAAAAUCAUAGUUGCUAUUAUCACAACCAAGCUCCUCAAUCUUUUUCAUCGAAAUACAAAUCUAAAUUAUAAAGUUCUGUCCGGCUGGACAUAUAUUUCACUGCUACAGCAAGAAGCUCUGGGUUCAAUCUUCAACUAUGAAAAAACCCCACAAAUUUUAAAAAUAAAAAAUAAAACAAGCAUGUUUCCUCAGGCCCCAGUACAUUUGUAAGGCUGAGGACUUCAGUUUCAAGGCCAGUUCAAGCUGCACAUGAGGUUUCAGACACUCCUGAGAUACAGAGUUAGAGCUUACUUCCCUAAGCCAAAACAACACAUAAAUAAACACAGCCUGGCCUGAAGUAUGUCUGAAGUUCCAGCACUUCAGAGGCUGAGAGGAGCCUCGGGAUUUUGAGGCCGUUUGGAUCCUAUAUAUACAAAUUUCGGCAAUCUGUCCUUUCAACACCAGGUAAAAGAAAAUGAAGACUCGUCUUCAGUUUGUUUUUAAUGAAUUUCUGUCGGGUAGCAGCAGCACAGAAAAGGUUCUAGUCUGUUUCUGCCACAAACUGACCUCCAGUUUACUCACACUUCACAUCCCCAGGCCCAAGGAAGACUUUCUGGGUCUCCAAUUCCCUGGCCUUCCUGCUUUCUGCUAGAUGCUAGGCUUUUCAAACUCCUGCCCUUAGUGAAGUUCUCCGUUUUUCACCGCAGAGGUCUAAGUGGGUAAAGUCGUUUGUGAACCCAGCAGCAGUGCUAUCCGGAGUCCAGGGAGGGUCACCUCCUCUCCUUACUCUGGAAGUAACACCUCCGCCCCGCCACCUUCACCCCACCCGGACCCCCACCUGAACCAUUAUUAACCAUCUUUUAACAGGUCACUGACUACCUCCACAGAGACUUCCCCCUACCAUGCUUCCUCAAGAAACUUCCCUUCCUCAAGAACUCAGCUUCGUGGCCACCACAAAGCAUACUGGGUAACAGGGUUUGGGCAGCUGUAAAACAAUCUCAGCCAAGCCCCUUGCUGACUGGCCGUGUUUGCACAUGCUUACAAAAGUGAGAGAGGCUCUAUCAGUCAUCUGUCAUCCAAGCAGCAAAAAAGAGGUAGUAUUUUAGCUGCCACUACUACCCAGAAGCUUUCCAUUUUCCAAGUUUGCAAUAGUAACUUGAAAGUUAAAAUAAAAUGAACCCCAAAGAAGACUCUCCUACUUUGUUUCAGUUGAAGGGGCUAGUUAUGUGUAUUUCGGAUUUGUUUUAUUUAUUUAACUAACGUGCUUUUGCAUGUUUGUAUUUGUUCAACAUGCAUGUCUGGUGCUCAUAGAAACUAGAAUAGGAUGCCAAUUCCCCUGGAUCUAGAAUUACAAAUGGUUGUGAGCCAUUAUAUGGGUCCUAGGAACUAAACCUUGGUUUUCGAGCAACAAGUGGUCUUAAUUUGAAAGCUAUCUUUCCAUCCCUGUCCUGUGUGUGUUUUAAGGUAUGCUGGAUCAUUUCUCUCCAUAGUUGUUUAUUUUUAAUAUACAGUGGAGAUUAUAGAAAUAUGACACUUUCCUAAUAUUGUCUAUUUCC
Molecule: long non-coding RNA, 3114 nt
Filed under: Mus musculus (house mouse)
Lineage: Eukaryota; Metazoa; Chordata; Mammalia; Rodentia; Muridae
Description: long non-coding RNA chrX:25559342-25562456
Source: RNAcentral